AUUUCUAGACUUAACUAUGCGGUUCUCUCCCUCAUCCCUAAGGUCAAGGGUGCGGAUAUGAUUUCUCAAUUUAGGCCGAUUGCUUUAAUCAACAACUUCGCAAAGAUGCCUGCAAAGGGCAUGGCCACUAGGCUAUCUCCCAUUGCACAUCGGACCAUUAGCCCUUUCCAGUCUACUUUCAUCAAAGGGAGGUUGAUUUUGGACGGGGUACUUUGUUUACAUGAGAUUGUUCAUGAUUUACGGGUGCGAGGGACCAAGGCUGUGGUUCUCAAACUUGACUUUGAAAAGGCCUACGACUCGGUUAGCUGGAAAUUCCUUCGGCAAGUUCUU
RNAcentral lists this ribosomal RNA (330 nucleotides) under Triticum aestivum (bread wheat). Its description in RNAcentral is "partial small subunit ribosomal RNA". Lineage: Eukaryota; Viridiplantae; Streptophyta; Magnoliopsida; Poales; Poaceae. The record is from RNAcentral.